UCUGCCUCCCUCACCCAGCACAGUGAGCAUGUCCUUCUGUGUGGUUCAGUCAGCCUCCUGCCUCCUGACCUGGCUCUUACCCAGAAGAUUAUCUCCAGUAUAUGCAAGGCUGACCUUGAACUCUACAUAGCCAAGGACCCUCCUGCUCUCUUGAACUCAGGAACAUAAUGGAGUCAAGUACUGAAAAUUGAACCUAAAGCAAGUUUUCUACCAUAGAACUUCGUCAUCAGCCCUUGUCAGUAUUUGUACUUUAGUCAGAGUUGUGAAUAUCAUUUUUGCUCUAGGCAGCUGCCAAAGGGCUGUGUACUUCUGUGUGCCUUGCAACCAGAUGUGGUCACGUAUAUGACCUCUGGCCAGUGACAUAAGCUUCAGAACACUUAUGAGAAGAUAACCAGGACAAUCUUGACCCUUACAUUGACCUAAAAAAUGGGAGCUAUCAUCUGGACCGCUUUCUUGGAGUCCUUUUAUGUGGCCUAAUAAGUGAAAAAAAACCCCGCUAUUGUUCAGGGAAAAUCAAAUCAAAACGUUUAUUUAAUUUGAACCUGCCUGUUUCUGGGAUCUAUAUGAAAAGUGAAAGAUUAUCAGUAGCUGUGGCUGGAGAGAUGACUCAAUGGGCAAGACCACUCUUGCAGAAGAACAUUGCAGUUCCCAACCGCCUGAAAUUCACACACACUUGGGACCAUGUUACAGGAGCCUUCCUAGCACUGUUGUCUGAGUAGUGAAAAGAGUAGGAAAAUUACCUAAAUAAUGUAUACUUACAGAUUGGACUAAAAGACAGCACAAUAAAUAAGGACUUACACUCCAACAACAGUAUGAAUUAAUUUUAGAAAUUUAGUGGCCAUUAAAAAAAAUAAAAGCCUCAAAGUAUGCCUUUUAAUUACAAUGUAUG
Molecule: long non-coding RNA, 889 nt
Organism: Apodemus sylvaticus (European woodmouse)
Lineage: Eukaryota; Metazoa; Chordata; Mammalia; Rodentia; Muridae
Exons: 4
Source: RefSeq, a predicted model, not a curated record